UACGGAGGGGGCGAGCGUUAUUCGGACUUAUUGGGCGUAAAGGGCGCGUAGGCGGCUUGAUGUGUCAAAGGUGAAAUCCCUCGGCUCAACUGAGGAACUGCCUUUGAAACUGUCUGGCUUGAGGCCGGGAGAGGGUAGCGGAAUUCCCAGUGUAGCGGUGAAAUGCGUAGAUACUGGGAGGAACACCGGUGGCGAAGGCGGCUACCUGGACCGGUUCUGACGCUGAUGCGCGAAAGCGUGGGUAGCAAACAGG
This 253-nucleotide ribosomal RNA is filed under the name uncultured bacterium. Its description in RNAcentral is "partial 16S ribosomal RNA". It matches the Rfam family "Bacterial small subunit ribosomal RNA", at positions 524 to 776 of the family's 1533-position model. The record is from RNAcentral.